GAUGAACGCUGACAGAAUGCUUAACACAUGCAAGUCGAUGGGGAAGUGGUGCUUGCACUAUGGCAACCAUGGCGGACGGGUGAGUAACGCGUAAGGAACUUACCUGCAGUACUGGGAUAACAGGGGGAAACUCCUGACAAGCCCGGAUAAUGUCAUGGAGCUGCAUGGCUUUAUUAUGAAAGGAGACGCCUGCGGAGAGCCUUGCGUCCUAUUAGCUAGUUGGUGAGGUAAUGGCUCACCAAGGCGAAGAUAGGUAGCCGGCCUGCGGGGGUGGACGGCCACAAGGCGGCUGAGAUACGGCCGUGACUCCUACGGGAGGCAGAAGUGGGGAAUAUUGGACAAUGGGGGCCACCCUGAUCCAGCAAUUCUGUGUGCACGAAGAAGGUUUUCGGAUUGUAAAGUGCUUUCAGCAGGGAAGAAGUAAGUGACGGUACCUGCAGAAGAAGCGACGGCUAAAUACGUG
Molecule: ribosomal RNA, 463 nt
Filed under: uncultured bacterium
Lineage: Bacteria
Description: partial 16S ribosomal RNA
Rfam family: Bacterial small subunit ribosomal RNA
Source: RNAcentral